UGGGGAAUAUUGCGCAAUGGGGGAAACCCUGACGCAGCAACGCCGCGUGAAGGAUGAAGGUUUUCGGAUUGUAAACUUCUUUGAUGAGGGACGAAAAAAAUGACGGUACCUCAAAAACAAGCCACGGCUAACUACGUGCCAGCAGCCGCGGUAAUACGUAGGUGGCGAGCGUUGUCCGGAAUUACUGGGUGUAAAGGGCGUGUAGGCGGGAUUGCAAGUCAGAUGUGAAAUUCUUGGGCUUAACUCAAGAGCUGCAUCUGAAACUGUGAUUCUUGAGUACUGGAGAGGAUAGUGGAAUUCCUAGUGUAGCGGUGAAAUGCGUAGAUAUUAGGAGGAACACCAGUGGCGAAGGCGGCUAUCUGGACAGUAACUGACGCUGAGGCGCGAAAGCGUGGGGAGCAAACA
Molecule: ribosomal RNA, 405 nt
Rfam family: Bacterial small subunit ribosomal RNA